UACGUAGGGGGCAAGCGUUGUCCGGAAUUAUUGGGCGUAAAGAGCUCGUAGGCGGUCUGUUGCGUCCGCUGUGAAAACUCGGGGCUUAACCCCGAGCCUGCAGUGGAUACGGGCAGACUAGAGGUAGGUAGGGGAGAAUGGAAUUCCCGGUGUAGCGGUGAAAUGCGCAGAUAUCGGGAGGAACACCGGUGGCGAAGGCGGUUCUCUGGGCCUUACCUGACGCUGAGGAGCGAAAGCGUGGGGAGCGAACAGG
This 253-nucleotide ribosomal RNA is filed under the name uncultured bacterium. RNAcentral describes it as "partial 16S ribosomal RNA". It matches the Rfam family "Bacterial small subunit ribosomal RNA", at positions 524 to 776 of the family's 1533-position model. The record is from RNAcentral.